ACGGAGGGAGCUAGCGUUGUUCGGAAUUACUGGGCGUAAAGCGCGCGUAGGCGGUUACUCAAGUCAGAGGUGAAAGCCCGGGGCUCAACCCCGGAACUGCCUUUGAAACUAGGUGACUAGAAUCUUGGAGAGGUCAGUGGAAUUCCGAGUGUAGAGGUGAAAUUCGUAGAUAUUCGGAAGAACACCAGUGGCGAAGGCGACUGACUGGACAAGUAUUGACGCUGAGGUGCGAAAGCGUGGGGAGCAAACAGGA
Molecule: ribosomal RNA, 253 nt
Filed under: uncultured prokaryote
Description: partial 16S ribosomal RNA
Rfam family: Bacterial small subunit ribosomal RNA
Source: RNAcentral